GGUUAAUGAAGAUUAGAAAUUAUGGGCAUUGAGGUCAUUCAAAUGUGAUUGGCUGUGAAUUUUGGCUCCAUCUACUCCCCCAUGGGUCACCUGAUCCCCUUAUAAAUAGAACACAGACUUUCUUAAACAGCUCCAAAGUCCUCUUUUUUUUCUACAAAAUCUCCUCUUUGAAGCCUCUUCUUGUACAACCUAUAAUCAUGAGAACUUACAGCUUCUUACUUCCACUACUGUUUUUCACAAUUAUUUUAGCAGGUCCAGUUCAUCUUUGUACUUGCAGGCAUCUCGACUUUGCUACCAAUCAAGAACCAGAUCGAACAAUAAACACCAUAAAGUUCCCUUUUUCCAUUUUCAUAUCAUCGUUCUGCUGUUUCUCGCUCCCUGCAAUCUCAAGAUUACAAGGCCAGCCCAUUAUAUGCUGCAUCCAAUAAGCUUGUUCCAGGUGGACCAAAUCCACUUCAUAAUUGAUCUGAUUUUCUACUUGUGUAUUUUGUAGGUAGGCAAAAGAAAAAGAAUUCUGUUUGGUUCUUGGAAAGAAUUGAAAGGAAAGAAAAGAAAGAGAUAUUCUCAAAAUUGCAAUUUUAGUUCUUUCCUUCAUUCUUUUCAAGAACCAAAUUUUUACUUCGAGUUGUAAAAACUAAAUCCAUCAUGGAUUACUACUGUAAAGCACAUUAUCAAUUUAUAUAAUUACCAUGAUUAUGUUGCAUUUUUACUUGAGUAGAAAUCGUGAAAACUUUCGUACCCUUUAACAGUAUAUUUGGUUGACCUAGUAGUUGCAAGAUUCCCACAUUUGAUUAUCCUUUUUAAGCCAAG
This 810-nucleotide long non-coding RNA is filed under the name Jatropha curcas. RNAcentral describes it as "long non-coding RNA (JCUR_LNC003233)". Lineage: Eukaryota; Viridiplantae; Streptophyta; Magnoliopsida; Malpighiales; Euphorbiaceae. The record is from RNAcentral.